GUAGUAAAGAAAAAACAAAUGUCUCUUUUUCUAAGUUUGCUUGUUAUGCUUCUAUGUCUCUCCUUUCAUGUCCCAACCACGGAGGCUAGACUCCGUCACGUAGUUCGCAUUCCCGUUUCUGCUUCGGUAUCUACUCCGCCCUCUAAAGAUUGUGGAAGUGGUAUUUAUAAUGUUAAUGUAGCUACAGAAGCGCCUUGUAGACGCCCUACAAGACCGCCUGGUGCAAAUCAUUGAUCUUUUAUGCAUAUUGGAGAAGACAAAUUACGAAUCAUAAUAUGUCCCAUGGAUUAUAUUUUCUUCACAAAGGAGAAGGAUUGCCACAUCCAGGGCCGGCCCUACCCUAAGGCAAGACAUAAUUGAAGUUGUUGUUAGUCUAAUGGUUUUACCAUUUUUGUUCACACAAAU
Long non-coding RNA from Capsella rubella, 405 nucleotides. RefSeq lists it as uncharacterized. The transcript has 3 exons. Lineage: Eukaryota; Viridiplantae; Streptophyta; Magnoliopsida; Brassicales; Brassicaceae. The record is from RefSeq and is a predicted model, not a curated record.